CUCCUACGGGGCGCAGCAGUGAGGAAUAUUGGUCAAUGGGCGGAAGCCUGAACCAGCCAAGUCGCGUGAGGGAAGAAGGCCCUGCGGGUCGCAGACCUCUUUGGACGGGGAGCAAGGCCGCCGACGUGUCGGCGGAAGGAGAGUACCCGUAGAACAAGCAUCGGCUAACUCCGUGCCAGCAGCCGCGGUAAUACGUAGGGGGCAAGCGUUAUCCGGAUUUACUGGGUGUAAAGGGUGCGUAGGUGGCAGGGCAAGUCAGAUGUGAAAGCCCGGGGCUCAACCCCGGUACUGCAUUUGAAACUGUC
RNAcentral lists this ribosomal RNA (305 nucleotides) under uncultured bacterium. RNAcentral describes it as "bacterial SSU rRNA". It matches the Rfam family "Bacterial small subunit ribosomal RNA", at positions 336 to 637 of the family's 1533-position model. The record is from RNAcentral.